CUACAAGGGUUUCUAAUCCUGUUUGCUCCCCACGCUUUCGCACCUCAGCGUCAGUAUCGAGCCAGUGAGCCGCCUUCGCCACUGGUGUUCCUCCGAAUAUCUACGAAUUUCACCUCUACACUCGGAAUUCCACUCACCUCUCUCGAACUCAAGACCGCCAGUAUCAAGGGCAGUUCCGGGGUUGAGCCCCGGGAUUUCACCCCUGACUUAAUGGUCCGCCUACGUGCGCUUUACGCCCAGUAAUUCCGAACAACGCUAACCCCCUCCGUAUUACCGCGGCUGCUGGCAC
This 289-nucleotide ribosomal RNA is filed under the name uncultured Paracoccaceae bacterium. RNAcentral's name for it is "uncultured Rhodobacteraceae bacterium partial 16S ribosomal RNA". The record is from RNAcentral. Lineage: Bacteria; Pseudomonadati; Pseudomonadota; Alphaproteobacteria; Rhodobacterales; Paracoccaceae.